AUUUAAUACAUUUUUUUAAAAUAACUAACAUAUUUUUUAAUAAAAAUUUAGAACAUAAUGUUAAACUAUUAUGGAAAAAUAUUUUUGUCGAUAAUAUUAUUAACCUAUUGGAUAGUGAUAAAAAAGUAAUUUCGGAAUAUACCGAAAGUGUUGGUAGUAUACCUAAACCUGUUUAUUUUGAUGAACAAAAUAUGGAACAUGUAUUUUUUUACGAGAGUGCGCUUAGCAUCUUUAAAAAGGUUUUUAAAAGAUUGCUUCAGGUUGAGCCGCUGAUGGUUGGGCAAGUUUUUUAUUAUAAAAAGAAAGAUGUAGGAAAAGGUGGUGUUAGUGCAAGCGUGGGUGGUGUAACCCAAAACAUAACAACUAAACAAACAAAAUUUACUAUAACCAAUUUUCCAAAUAUAUCGUUCGAAACUGCAAUUACAACAUUAAUCGAAAAGAAUAAUAUAAAAAUUGAUUUACAAAAAUUAUUUUAUUUUUUAAAAGUCAUAAAAAAAAAUACCAAUUUGGAAUUUUAUUUAAAAUUGCAAAAUGAAUUGUUUAAUUUGUUUAAUAAUCCCUCAUUCAUUAUUUCUUUGAAAUAUGUUCAGAAUAAAGGGAAUAGUACGUACUGUAAGAAGAGUAGUGAUAUUAAUGACUUAACGAAAAAAGAAGAUCUAUAUGAGUGCAAACGGGAAGAAGAACAAAAAUGGAAUGCAGAACAAAAACGGGAAGAAGAACAAGGGUAUCAAGAAAUGGGACAUACUACGGACGGAGAAAACGAUUUUAAUUUUUUUACGCCACUUAAUUAUAACCUAGAAAACAAUAAAAUCGAUAUUAACUUUAUUUUUAGUUUAUCUAAUAUAAGAUGUACAAAUUAUAAUUUCAAAAAAUUAAAUUUAUUAGACUUUUAUAGAAUAAGCAAUAAUAUAAUUCCUUCUAUUAUUACAACAGUAUCUAUGAUUACAGCACUAGUUGCGUUCGAGUUGUACAAAUUGGUUUAUUUUUUGAUGCUAAGUAAAGAUAAGAGUUUGGAAAGUUGUUUGGAAAGUAGCUUGGGUGAUAGUGUGGGGAAUGGGUCGGACGACAAUUUGGACAGUGCUAGUCAUAUUUGCAAUAAUAAAAUCAACAGUAGAAAAACAUGUGGUCUCAAGAAUGAAGCUUUAAAAACACGAAGGAAAUUAUACAACUUUCAUAAAAUUGGUGAUUUCAAUUUAUAUAUUUAUAAAGAUAAAAUCUAUGUAAAAAAAAAUAAUAAAACAAUAUUUUACUUUUUUAAUAUAAAAUAUGAAAAAUUGAAAAAAAUAGCUAAUUAUAUUAAUAAUCAUUAUAUAAAUUUGCAAGACAAUUUUUUCACAUCUUCAGAG
This 1346-nucleotide long non-coding RNA is filed under the name Piliocolobus tephrosceles (Ugandan red Colobus). RNAcentral's name for it is "lncRNA (ENSPTEG00000010666.1)". Lineage: Eukaryota; Metazoa; Chordata; Mammalia; Primates; Cercopithecidae. The record is from RNAcentral.